CCUGUGAAAACCGACCGUUGUGAUCUCGUAAAACAACAAGUUGGGUUGUGAACUUGUAAAACAACCGGCUGUAAUCCGAGGGAUUAUAGUGAAUUCCCAAGUGAGGCUUGGGGAGUGGACGUAGGAGUAAGGGUUAGCUCCGAACCACUAUAAAAUUUCUUGUGUUUGUGAUUGCUCCAUUGUCUCUUACUUUCCCUUCAUCCACUGCAUAUAGCAACUAAUUAAUCCACUAGCAAAAAGUUUUAAUUAGUUACUCACAAAGCUUUUAAUUGCAAUAAUUAUUUUAAAACCCAAUUCACCCCGCCUCUUGGGUUGUCUAUCUGGGCAACAAAAAUACUAACUACUAAGGUAAAAAUUAAAUCUAAAAUUAUACUAAUAACUCAGUCGUUCUCCGGCAACGGCACCAAAAACUUGGUGCGUUCGAAAAACUGUUCUCCCAAGUGCAGGAGAAUCGCACAAGUAGUAUAACUCGGGAGUCCGAGGUCAAUUCCUCAGGAAACGAUCUAUAAAUUAUUAGCGUAAUUUUUAGAUGUAAUUUUUAGUUGACCUUCAAAAAUUAAAAGCAGAGAAUAAUAGGUAAUUAAACAACAUUCAAGAAUAUAGAGAAGACUAGGGAUCCGGAAUCCUCCUUGACAAUAUUACUUUUAAUAAAUAAACUCGGCGAUUCUUGACUAAGGAUUAAUAUGAUAGAGUAGUUCUAAUCAUGGAGUAUACAAUAUGAGAACAUGAAUUUAACAUCCAAGUAUUUAUCGUGCCAGUUACGUCUACGACAAAUCAAGCAUUGAAACAAUCCAUGCAUCAAUAUAUAUAAACCAUACAAGAUCUAUCUAAUAAAUAAAUAUGCAAGAAUCCAAAACAUACCAAUGGAUAUAAAACAAUUAGAAUAAA
Molecule: long non-coding RNA, 888 nt
Filed under: Phoenix dactylifera (date palm)
Lineage: Eukaryota; Viridiplantae; Streptophyta; Magnoliopsida; Arecales; Arecaceae
Description: long non-coding RNA (PDAC_LNC017147)
Source: RNAcentral